This 762-nucleotide ribosomal RNA is filed under the name Triticum aestivum (bread wheat). RNAcentral describes it as "partial small subunit ribosomal RNA". Lineage: Eukaryota; Viridiplantae; Streptophyta; Magnoliopsida; Poales; Poaceae. The record is from RNAcentral.
AUGCACAGGCUCGCUCGUCGGCACGGCCCCGUCAUGCUUCUCCGUCUCGGCCAUGUCCCAACGCUCGUGCUCUCCUCCGCCGAGGCAGCCAGGGAGGUCAUGAAGGUCCACGACGCCGCCUUCACCGAUCGCCCCGUGUACGCCACCACACACAUCUUCACCUACGACGGUGAGUUCAUCUCCUUUGCGCGCCACAGCAGUAGGUACUGGAAGUCCAUCCGAAAGCUCUGCGCCGUCGAGCUGCUGAGCCCGAGGCGGGUCCGGUCGUUCUGCCGUGUCCAGGAGGAGGAGGCGGUGAGGCUCGUGUGGGCGUCCGUCGACGACAGGUGCACGCAGCAGGGCGCGUACCUACGGGAGUUGGACAAGGUGCUGGACCUCAUGUCCGGGUUUAACCUCAUCGACCUGUUCCCGACGUCGUGCCUCGCCCGGGCUAUCGGUGGCCAGGCUCUCAGAGCGACGUGGGAGGUGCACCGGAGAAUCCACUCCAUCAUGGACGCCAUGAUCAGCGAUCACAGAACAGCUAUGGAGGAUGAGGAGGACAAUGAUGUCGGCCGUGAGCAGAGGGGCGACAUACUCACUACUCUGCUCUGUUUCCAGAGGGACAACGAGAUUGGCGGCGUCGCCCUCACCAAUGAAAACAUGAGCGACAUCCUCUUCGUGAGUCACCAGUCACCACUAGCUACCCAAGACCAUGGUUUAAAAUUGGACCCCCCUUAUCUGGCGACCAUUGACUGGGAGGGGUGGCAUUUGCAAACAUUUUGA